AACGAACGCUGGCGGCAUGCCUAACACAUGCAAGUCGAACGAGACCUUUGGGUCUAGUGGCGCACGGGUGCGUAACGCGUGGGAAUCUGCCCUUGGGUUCGGAAUAACAGUGAGAAAUUGCUGCUAAUACCGGAUGAUGUCUUCGGACCAAAGAUUUAUCGCCCAGGGAUGAGCCCGCGUAGGAUUAGCUAGUUGGUGGGGUAAUGGCCUACCAAGGCGACGAUCCUUAGCUGGUCUGAGAGGAUGAUCAGCCACACUGGGACUGAGACACGGCCCAGACUCCUACGGGAGGCAGCAGUGGGGAAUAUUGGACAAUGGGCGCAAGCCUGAACCAGCAAUGCCGCGUGAGUGAUGAAGGCCUUAGGGUUGUAAAGCUCUUUUACCAGGGAUGAUAAUGACAGUACCUGGAGAAUAAGCGCCGGCUAACUCCGUG
RNAcentral lists this ribosomal RNA (433 nucleotides) under uncultured bacterium. Its description in RNAcentral is "partial 16S ribosomal RNA". It matches the Rfam family "Bacterial small subunit ribosomal RNA", at positions 29 to 507 of the family's 1533-position model. The record is from RNAcentral.